Molecule: ribosomal RNA, 253 nt
Filed under: uncultured bacterium
Lineage: Bacteria
Description: partial 16S ribosomal RNA
Rfam family: Bacterial small subunit ribosomal RNA
Source: RNAcentral
UACGUAGGGUGCGAGCGUUAAUCGGAAUUACUGGGCGUAAAGAGCGCGCAGGCGGUCGUUCAAGUCGCGUGUGAAAACCCCCGGCUCAACUGGGGAGGGUCACGCGAUACUGAUCGACUCGAAGGCAGGAGAGGGAAGUGGAAUUCCCGGUGUAGUGGUGAAAUGCGUAGAUAUCGGGAGGAACACCAGUGGCGAAGGCGACUUCCUGGCCUGUUCUUGACGCUGAGGCGCGAAAGCUAGGGGAGCAAACGGG